ACAUUGUGUGACUCAGGAAACAGCUCAGACUGAGGCGUGCAGCAGGCUCAGGAGGAAGAAGGGCGGUAGAGGCAGAGGAGGUGGCCUUGCCUGGCCACAAGGGCUCUGAGGGUCCCUGCCUGAAGAGGGAGAGGAGAUCCGGGCCAGGGGCAGGCGCUCUGGAAUGCAGCCCCAGUUGCUGCUGCUGCUGCUCUUGCCACUCAAUUUCCCUGUCAUCCUGACCAGAGUCUCUUCUCCAGAGCUUCUGUGUGGAGGAUCCCCAGAGCCCUGUGCCAACGGAGGCACCUGCCUGAGGCUAUCUCGGGGACAAGGGAUCUGCCAGUGUGCCCCUGGAUUUCUGGGUGAGACUUGCCAGUUUCCUGACCCCUGCAGGGAUACCCAACUCUGCAAGAAUGGUGGCAGCUGCCAAGCCCUGCUCCCCACACCCCCAAGCUCCCGUAGUCCUACUUCUCCACUGACCCCUCACUUCUCCUGCACCUGCCCCUCUGGCUUCACCGGUGAUCGAUGCCAAACCCAUCUGGAAGAGCUCUGUCCACCUUCUUUCUGUUCCAACGGGGGUCACUGCUAUGUUCAGGCCUCAGGCCGCCCACAGUGCUCCUGCGAGCCUGGGUGGACAGGUGAGCAAUGCCAGCUCCGAGACUUCUGCUCAGCCAACCCCUGUGCCAACGGAGGCGUGUGCCUGGCCACAUACCCCCAGAUCCAGUGCCGCUGUCCACCUGGGUUCGAGGGUCACACCUGUGAACGCGACAUCAACGAGUGCUUCCUGGAGCCGGGACCCUGCCCUCAGGGCACCUCCUGCCAUAACACCUUGGGUUCCUACCAGUGUCUCUGCCCUGUGGGGCAGGAAGGUCCCCAGUGCAAGCUCAGGAAGGGAGCCUGCCCUCCUGGAAGCUGUCUCAAUGGGGGCACCUGCCAGCUGGUCCCAGAGGGACACUCCACCUUUCAUCUCUGCCUCUGUCCCCCAGGUUUCACGGGGCUGGACUGUGAGAUGAACCCAGAUGACUGUGUCAGGCACCAGUGUCAGAACGGGGCCACCUGUCUGGAUGGGCUGGACACCUACACCUGCCUCUGCCCCAAGACAUGGAAGGGCUGGGACUGCUCUGAAGAUAUAGAUGAAUGUGAAGCCCGGGGUCCCCCUCGCUGCAGGAACGGUGGCACCUGCCAGAACACAGCUGGCAGCUUUCACUGUGUGUGCGUGAGUGGCUGGGGAGGCGCAGGCUGUGAGGAGAACCUGGAUGACUGUGCAGCUGCCACCUGUGCCCCGGGAUCCACCUGCAUCGACCGUGUGGGCUCCUUCUCCUGCCUCUGCCCACCUGGACGCACAGGCCUCCUGUGCCACCUGGAAGACAUGUGUUUGAGUCAGCCGUGCCACGUGAAUGCCCAGUGCAGCACCAACCCUCUGACAGGCUCCACCCUCUGCAUAUGCCAGCCUGGCUACUCAGGAUCCACCUGUCACCAAGAUCUGGAUGAGUGCCAAAUGGCCCAGCAAGGACCCAGUCCCUGCGAACAUGGCGGCUCCUGCAUCAACACCCCUGGCUCCUUCAACUGCCUCUGCCUGCCUGGUUACACGGGCUCCCGCUGUGAAGCUGACCACAAUGAGUGCCUGUCACAGCCCUGCCACCCAGGCAGCACCUGCCUGGACCUGCUUGCAACCUUCCACUGCCUCUGCCCACCAGGCUUGGAAGGGAGGCUCUGUGAGGUGGAGGUCAAUGAGUGCACCUCUAAUCCCUGCCUGAACCAAGCUGCCUGCCAUGACCUGCUCAACGGCUUCCAGUGCCUCUGCCUUCCUGGAUUCACCGGCGCCCGAUGUGAGAAAGACAUGGACGAGUGUAGCAGCACCCCCUGUGCCAAUGGGGGGCGCUGCCGAGACCAGCCUGGAGCCUUCUACUGCGAGUGUCUCCCAGGCUUUGAAGGGCCACACUGUGAGAAAGAAGUGGACGAAUGUCUGAGUGACCCCUGCCCCGUGGGAGCCAGCUGCCUUGAUCUCCCCGGAGCAUUCUUCUGCCUCUGCCGUCCUGGUUUCACAGGUCAACUUUGUGAGGUUCCCUUGUGCACCCCCAACAUGUGCCAACCUGGACAGCAAUGCCAAGGUCAGGAACACAGAGCCCCCUGCCUCUGCCCUGACGGAAGUCCUGGCUGUGUUCCUGCCGAGGACAACUGCCCCUGUCACCAUGGCCAUUGCCAGAGAUCCUUGUGUGUGUGUGAUGAGGGCUGGACUGGACCAGAAUGCGAGACAGAACUGGGUGGCUGCAUCUCCACACCCUGUGCCCAUGGGGGGACCUGCCACCCACAGCCAUCUGGCUACAACUGUACCUGCCCUGCAGGCUACAUGGGGUUGACCUGUAGUGAGGAGGUGACAGCUUGUCACUCAGGGCCCUGUCUCAAUGGUGGCUCCUGCAGCAUCCGUCCUGAGGGCUAUUCCUGCACCUGCCUUCCAAGUCACACAGGUCGCCACUGCCAGACUGCCGUGGACCACUGUGUGUCUGCCUCGUGCCUCAAUGGGGGUACCUGUGUGAACAAGCCUGGCACUUUCUUCUGCCUCUGUGCCACUGGCUUCCAGGGGCUGCACUGUGAGGAGAAGACUAACCCCAGCUGUGCAGACAGCCCCUGCAGGAACAAGGCAACCUGCCAAGACACACCUCGAGGGGCCCGCUGCCUCUGCAGCCCUGGCUAUACAGGAAGCAGCUGCCAGACUCUGAUAGACUUGUGUGCCCGGAAGCCCUGUCCACACACUGCUCGAUGCCUCCAGAGUGGGCCCUCGUUCCAGUGCCUGUGCCUCCAGGGAUGGACAGGGGCUCUCUGUGACUUCCCACUGUCCUGCCAGAAGGCCGCGAUGAGCCAAGGCAUAGAGAUCUCUGGCCUGUGCCAGAAUGGAGGCCUCUGUAUUGACACGGGCUCCUCCUAUUUCUGCCGCUGCCCUCCUGGAUUCCAAGGCAAGUUAUGCCAGGAUAAUGUGAACCCCUGUGAGCCCAAUCCCUGCCAUCACGGGUCUACCUGUGUGCCUCAGCCCAGUGGCUAUGUCUGCCAGUGUGCCCCAGGCUAUGAGGGACAGAACUGCUCAAAAGUACUUGACGCUUGUCAGUCCCAGCCCUGCCACAACCACGGAACCUGUACCUCCAGGCCUGGAGGCUUCCACUGUGCCUGCCCUCCAGGCUUCGUGGGACUGCGCUGUGAGGGAGAUGUGGAUGAGUGUCUGGACCGGCCCUGUCACCCCUCGGGCACUGCAGCUUGCCACUCUUUAGCCAACGCCUUCUACUGCCAGUGUCUGCCUGGGCACACAGGCCAGCGGUGUGAGGUGGAGAUGGACCUCUGUCAGAGCCAACCCUGCUCCAAUGGAGGAUCCUGUGAGAUCACAACAGGGCCACCCCCUGGCUUCACCUGUCACUGCCCCAAGGGUUUUGAAGGCCCCACCUGCAGCCACAAAGCCCUUUCCUGCGGCAUCCAUCACUGCCACAAUGGAGGCCUAUGUCUGCCCUCCCCUAAGCCAGGGUCACCACCACUCUGUGCCUGCCUCAGUGGUUUUGGGGGCCCUGACUGUCUGACACCUCCAGCUCCACCGGGCUGCGGUCCCCCCUCACCCUGCCUGCACAAUGGUACCUGCACUGAGACCCCUGGGUUGGGCAACCCGGGCUUUCAAUGCACCUGCCCUCCUGACUCUCCAGGGCCCCGGUGUCAAAGGCCAGGGGCAAGUGGGUGUGAGGGCCGAGGUGGUGAUGGGACCUGCGAUGCUGGCUGCAGUGGCCCAGGAGGAGACUGGGAUGGAGGGGACUGUUCCCUGGGGGUCCCAGACCCCUGGAAGGGCUGUCCCCCGCAUUCCCAGUGCUGGCUUCUGUUCCGGGACGGACGGUGUCACCCGCAGUGUGACUCUGAGGAGUGUCUCUUUGAUGGCUACGACUGUGAAAUCCCUCUAACCUGCAUCCCAGCCUAUGACCAGUACUGCCGAGAUCACUUCCACAACGGGCACUGUGAGAAAGGCUGCAAUAACGCUGAAUGUGGCUGGGACGGGGGAGACUGCAGACCAGAAGGGGAAGACUCAGAGGGGAGGCCCUCCCUGGCCCUGCUGGUGGUGCUGAGGCCCCCAGCCCUGGAUCAGCAGCUGCUUGCCCUGGCACGAGUGCUGUCCCUGACUCUGAGGGUCGGUCUCUGGGUGAGGAAGGACAGUGAAGGCAGGAACAUGGUGUUCCCCUAUCCUGGGACCCGGGCCAAAGAGGAGCUGAGUGGAGCUAGGGAUUCCUCUUCAUGGGAAAGACAAGCCCCUCCCACUCAGCCCCUGGGCAAGGAGACAGAGUCUCUUGGUGCAGGGUUUGUGGUAGUGAUGGGAGUGGAUCUGUCCCGCUGUGGUCCGGAACAUCCUGCGUCCCGCUGCCCCUGGGACUCUGGACUCCUGCUGCGCUUCCUUGCAGCAAUGGCAGCAGUGGGAGCUCUGGAGCCCCUGCUGCCUGGACCCUUGCUGGCGGCUCACCCUCAAGCAGGGACCAGGCCCUCUGCCAACCAGCUUCCCUGGCCCAUUCUAUGUUCACCAGUGGUUGGGGUGCUUCUCCUGGCCCUUGGGGCCCUUCUCGUCCUCCAGCUCAUUCGGCGACGGCGACGAGAACAUGGGGCCCUGUGGCUGCCCCCUGGUUUCAUUCGAAGGCCUCAGACACAGCAGGCACCCCACCGGCGGAGGCCCCCACUGGGCGAGGACAACAUUGGUCUUAAGGCACUGAAGCCAGAGGCCGAAGUGGAUGAGGAUGGAGUGGCCAUGUGCUCGGGCCCUGAAGAGGGAGAGGCUGAAGAAACAGCCUCAGCCUCCAGGUGCCAGCUUUGGCCGCUCAACAGCGGCUGUGGAGAGCUCCCCCAGGCAGCCAUGCUGACCCCUCCUCAGGAGUGUGAAUCGGAGGUUCUGGAUGUGGACACCUGUGGACCUGAUGGGGUGACACCCCUGAUGUCAGCCGUCUUCUGUGGGGGAGUGCAGUCCACGACUGGGGCUAGUCCACAGAGACUGGGGCUAGGAAAUCUGGAACCCUGGGAACCACUGCUGGAUAGAGGGGCCUGCCCCCAGGCUCACACUGUGGGCACUGGAGAGACGCCUCUGCACCUAGCUGCCAGAUUCUCUCGGCCAACCGCUGCCCGCCGCCUCCUUGAGGCUGGAGCCAACCCCAACCAGCCAGACCGCGCUGGGCGCACCCCACUUCACACUGCUGUGGCUGCCGACGCUCGGGAGGUUUGCCAGCUCCUAUUGGCCAGCAGACAGACUACGGUGGACGCCCGCACAGAGGACGGGACUACACCUUUGAUGCUGGCUGCCAGGCUGGCCGUGGAGGACCUGGUUGAAGAAUUGAUCGCAGCCCGAGCAGAUGUAGGAGCCAGGGAUAAAAGGGGUAUGCAUGGAGCCGCUGUGUUAUUGGAAUGUUGGGGAGAGCGGUAAGGAGGUGAAGUUCAAAAUACAGGCGCAGUGGGGACAGACUAGAGGCUCUUAUGCUGUGGCAGGAUGGAGAGCGAGUUUCCCCAUCACUGUUAAGUACACAUCUUGUCUCAGUCCAUGAUACGGGAAUGGAAGAAGUACCGGCGGGAACCGUAAUGGGGAUACCGGGGUCCCACCGAUCCAGAACAAUACCCAUUGUCCUGCCCGCGCGCCCAUGACGUCACCAGGGCAACACUUGCAGCCGACUGUCGGUUGCCAGGGCAACGCUUCCCGCCUCUGAAGAAUCCAAGUAGCUCUCCCUUCCUCCCCCCACCACCAAGGCCAGAACCCGUGGGAAACUAAAAGGAACAGACGCCGCUUUUCCUGGCAGCGCGCGAAGGAGCCGUGGAGGUGGCGCAGCUGUUGCUGGAGCUCGGGGCGGCCCGGGGACUGCGAGACCAGGCCGGGCUGGCCCCAGGAGAUGUGGCCCGCCAGCGCAGUCACUGGGACCUGCUAACGCUGCUGGAAGGGGCUGGACCGACUACGCAGGAGGCCCGUGCGCACGCACGCACCACGCCGGGGGGCGGGGCCGCGCCGCGCUGCCGGACGCUGUCUGCGGGAGCGCGCCCGCGCGGGGGCGGAGCCUGUCUGCAGGCUCGCACUUGGUCGGUGGACUUGGGAGCGCGCGGAGGGAAGGUGUAUGCUCGCUGCCGGAGCCGAUCUGGAAGCUGCGGAGGCCCCACCACGCGCGGCCGCAGGUUCUCCGCGGGCUCCCGUGGACGACGCGGGGCUAGGGCAUCACAGGAUGACUGGCCUCGCGACUGGGUGGCCCUGGAAGCCUGCGGCUCCGCCUGCAGUGCGCCGAUCCCGCCUCCCAGCCUGACCCCGUCCCCAGAACGUGGAUCCCCUCAAGUUGCCUGGGGUCUUCCAGUUCACCAAGAGAUUCCCUUAAACUCGGUUGUAAGAAAUCUGAACUAGGCAGCUGCGUGGAAGGAAGGAAGCGACACGUACGAGUCUGGAAGACUCCGGACUUUUAAGGCCAAAAUAACCGUUAAGCUCACUUGUCUCCCCCAUAGAGUAUGCACAGCAAUGGGAAGAGGGUUUAGGAUGUCCGGUUGAGAUAGACCGUGAUUUUCCUGGAAAAUAGGGCAGCUUCAAGAGGACAAAGUUGAUUUCGAGAAUCCCUAAACUCUGGAACCAAGAACUGUGGGCGAAUUGGGUGUAAAAUGUUUCUUGUGUAUGGUUUCCCAAAAGGAGCCUCUGCUAUCUACUGCCCACAAGUAGCUGGCAACUAUUUAUUAAGCACCUACGAUGUGCCGGGUGUUGUGUAGAUGAACAGUAAGUAACCAGUGGCCCAUCCAGCUGAUGACUCCUUGCCCUCUCUCUGCCUCCCCACAAGGACACUGGUGCAGGGAUGAGGCCAUGUUCUCCAGUCACUGCUAUCUCCGAGAACCCCAAACUCAUGGAUAAUAAAGCUAAUUUGAAGUGCUACUUUA
This is an RNA transcript of Mus musculus (house mouse), 6879 nucleotides long. It is a transcript of the gene named notch 4, with no coding region annotated. The record is from RefSeq and is marked validated. Lineage: Eukaryota; Metazoa; Chordata; Mammalia; Rodentia; Muridae. The transcript has 29 exons.